RNAcentral lists this ribosomal RNA (468 nucleotides) under uncultured bacterium. RNAcentral's name for it is "partial 16S ribosomal RNA". It matches the Rfam family "Bacterial small subunit ribosomal RNA", at positions 28 to 507 of the family's 1533-position model. The record is from RNAcentral.
GACGAACGCUGGCGGCGUGCUUAACACAUGCAAGUCGAACGGAAAGGCCCUGCUUUUGUGGGGUGCUCGAGUGGCGAACGCGUGAGUAACACGUGUGUAACCUGCCCUUGACUUUGGGAUAACUUCAGGAGACUGCGGCUAAUACCGGAUAGGAGCUCCUGCUGCAUGUGGGGGGUUGGAAAGUUUCGGCGGUUGGGGAUGGACUCGCGGCUUAUCAGCUUCUUGGUGGGGUAGUGGCUUACCAAGCCUUUGACGGGUAGCCGGCCUGAGAGGGUGAACGGCCACAUUGGGACUGAGAGACGGCCCAGACUCCUACGGGAGGCAGCAGUGGGGAAUAUUGCACAACGGGCGGAAGCCUGAUGCAGCAACGCCGCGUGCGGGAUGACGGCCUUCUGGUUGUAAACCGCUGUCGCCUGUGACGAAGAGUGAGUGACGGUAAUGGGUAAAGAAGCACCGGCUAACUACGUG